This 651-nucleotide ribosomal RNA is filed under the name Triticum aestivum (bread wheat). RNAcentral describes it as "partial small subunit ribosomal RNA". The record is from RNAcentral. Lineage: Eukaryota; Viridiplantae; Streptophyta; Magnoliopsida; Poales; Poaceae.
AUGUACCAGAACAUUAAUGAAGCAUCAUGGGGCGAGCAACAACUCAUCAGUGAGAUAAGAACAUUCCUUGAAAACAAGAGGUACUUGAUAGUUAUUGAUGACAUAUGGGAUAAAUCCGUCUGGGAAAAUAUCAAGUAUGCAUUGAUUGAGAAUGGAUACGGAAGUAGAGUAAUCACAACAACUCGGGUUCUUUAUGUUUCCCUGCAAGCUGGUGGUGUAUAUCGGCUGAAACCUCUUUCUGUUGUCGUCUCAAGAAAGUUGUUCUAUCAAAGAAUAUAUGAGAUGGAGAACAAGUCACCACCUAAUCAAUUGGUUGAAGUAUCUGAGAGAAUUUUAAAAAGAUGUGGGGGAGUUUCGCUAGCUAUCCUUGCGAUAGGCAGCUUGCUGUCUAGUGAAAAGGGAACAACACAUACACAUGAGUAUUGGUCCAAGGUGUACAAAUCCAUCAGUUUGGGGCUAGACAAUAAUCAUGAUGAUGUGAAGAACAUGAGGAGAAUAUUAUCUGUAAGUUACUCUGGCCUACCUCCACACCUAAAGACUUUCUUACUGCAUCUUGGUUUGUAUCCAGAGGAUUAUGAGAUUGAAGCAGAACAACUGAUUUGGAAAUGGGUUGGUGAAGGUUUUGUGAAAAAAGAACAAGGGAGGAGCUGA